AGAGUUUGAUCAUGGCUCAGAUUGAACGCUGGCGGCAGGCUUAACACAUGCAAGUCGAGCGGUAACAGGAGAAGCUUGCUUCUCGCUGACGAGCGGCGGACGGGUGAGUAAUACUUAGGAAUCUACCUAGUAGUGGGGGAUAGCACGGGGAAACUCGUAUUAAUACCGCAUACGACCUACGGGAGAAAGGGGGCAGUUUACUGCUCUCACUAUUAGAUGAGCCUAAGUCGGAUUAGCUAGAUGGUGGGGUAAAGGCCUACCAUGGCGACGAUCUGUAGCUGGUCUGAGAGGAUGAUCAGCCACACCGGGACUGAGACACGGCCCGGACUCCUACGGGAGGCAGCAGUGGGGAAUAUUGGACAAUGGGGGAAACCCUGAUCCAGCCAUGCCGCGUGUGCGAAGAAGGCCUUUUGGUUGUAAAGCACUUUAAGCAGUGAAGAAGACUCCAUGGUUAAUACCCAUGGACGAUGACAUUAGCUGCAGAAUAAGCACCGGCUAACUCUGUGCCAGCAGCCGCGGUAAUACAGAGGGUGCAAGCGUUAAUCGGAAUUACUGGGCGUAAAGGGAGCGUAGGUGGCUCUAUAAGUCAGAUGUGAAAUCCCCGGGCUUAACCUGGGAACUGCAUCUGAAACUGUAGAGCUAGAGUAUGUGAGAGGAAGGUAGAAUUCCAGGUGUAGCGGUGAAAUGCGUAGAGAUCUGGAGGAAUACCGAUGGCGAAGGCAGCCUUCUGGCAUAAUACUGACACUGAGGCUCGAAAGCGUGGGUAGCAAACAGGAUUAGAUACCCUGGUAGUCCACGCCGUAAACGAUGUCUACUAGUCGUUGGGUCCCUUGAGGACUUAGUGACGCAGCUAACGCAAUAAGUAGACCGCCUGGGGAGUACGGGCCGCAAGGUUAAAACUCAAAUGAAUUGACGGGGGCCCGCACAAGCGG
Molecule: ribosomal RNA, 932 nt
Filed under: uncultured Gammaproteobacteria bacterium
Lineage: Bacteria; Pseudomonadati; Pseudomonadota; Gammaproteobacteria
Description: bacterial SSU rRNA
Rfam family: Bacterial small subunit ribosomal RNA
Source: RNAcentral